RNAcentral lists this ribosomal RNA (406 nucleotides) under uncultured bacterium. Its description in RNAcentral is "partial 16S ribosomal RNA". It matches the Rfam family "Bacterial small subunit ribosomal RNA", at positions 29 to 526 of the family's 1533-position model. The record is from RNAcentral.
AUUGAACGCUGGCGGCAGGCCUAACACAUGCAAGUCGAACGAGUGGCGGACGGGUGAGUAAUGUCUGGGAAUCUGCCCGAUGGAGGGGGAUAACUACUGGAAACAGUAGCUAAUACCGCAUACCAUCGGAUGUGCCCAGAUGGGAUUAGCUAGUAGGUGGGGUAACGGCUCACCUAGGCGACGAUCCCUAGCUGGUCUGAGCGGAUGACGAGAAAAGCUGGAACUGAGACACGGUACAGACUCGUAAGGGAGGCAGCAGUGGGGAAUAUGGGACAAUGGGGGAAAGCCGGAUGGAGCCAUGCCGCGUGUAUGAAGAAGGCCUUCGGGUUGUAAAGUACUUUCAGCGAGGAGGCGUUACUCGCAGAAGAAGCACCGGCUAACUCCGUGCCAGCAGACGCGGGAAGAC